Molecule: ribosomal RNA, 464 nt
Filed under: uncultured bacterium
Lineage: Bacteria
Description: bacterial SSU rRNA
Rfam family: Bacterial small subunit ribosomal RNA
Source: RNAcentral
CCUACGGGUUGCACCAGUGGGGAAUAUUGCACAAUGGGCGCAAGCCAGAUGCAGCCAUGCCGCGUGUAUGAAGAAGGCCCUAGGGUUGUAAAGUACUUUCAGUCGGGAGGAAGGCGUUGAUGCUAAUAUCAUCAACGUUUGACGUUACCGACAGAAGAAGCACCGGCUAACUCCGUGCCAGCAGCCGCGGUAAUACGGAGGGUGCAAGCGUUAAUCGGAAUUACUGGGCGUAAAGCGCACGCAGGCGGUUGAUUAAGUUAGAUGUGAAAUCCCCGGGCUUGACCUGGGAAUGGCAUCUAAGACUGGUCAGCUAGAGUCUUGUAGAGGGGGGUAGAAUUCCAUGUGUAGCGGUGAAAUGCGUAGAGAUGUGGAGGAAUACCGGUGGCGAAGGCGGCCCCCUGGACAAAGACUGACGCUCAGGUGCGAAAGCGUGGGGAGCAAACAGGAUUAGAUACCCCAGUAGU